Molecule: ribosomal RNA, 465 nt
Filed under: uncultured bacterium
Lineage: Bacteria
Description: partial 16S ribosomal RNA
Rfam family: Bacterial small subunit ribosomal RNA
Source: RNAcentral
CUACGGGUGGCUGCAGUGAGGAAUUUUGCGCAAUGAGCGAAAGCCUGACGCAGCAACGCCGCGUGAGUGACGAAGGCCUUCGGGUCGUAAAGCUCUGUCAAGCGGGAAGAACCCGCGGACGUCCAACAAGCGUCCGCGCUGACGGUACCGCUGAAGGAAGCACCGGCUAACUCCGUGCCAGCAGCCGCGGUAAUACGGAGGGUGCGAGCGUUAUUCGGAAUUAUUGGGCGUAAAGGGCGCGCAGGCGGCCCUGAAAGUCAGAUGUGAAAGCCCGGGGCUCAACCCCGGAAGUGCAUUUGAUACUGCAGGGCUUGAGUAUGGGAGAGGGAAGUGGAAUUCCUGGUGUAGAGGUGAAAUUCGUAGAUAUCAGGAGGAACACCGGUGGCGAAGGCGACUUCCUGGACCAAUACUGACGCUGAGGCGCGAAGGCGUGGGGAGCAAACAGGAUUAGAUACCCCAGUAGUC